This 1336-nucleotide long non-coding RNA is filed under the name Marmota monax (woodchuck). Lineage: Eukaryota; Metazoa; Chordata; Mammalia; Rodentia; Sciuridae. The record is from RNAcentral.
UACCAUGACACAUUCUGAGGAGACAGUAAGGUGUUCAUCUCUCUGACAUCCAGAUCCUAUCUGUACGUGGAGCUCAGCUGCAUUGUGCACUGCUAACUGGCCCAUUGGUGCUAGAUGAGAACCUUUGGCUGGGACAUCAUCAGUUUGUCAUAGAAUGUUCAUAUGAACCACAGGGACUGCUACCCUUUCUAUUAUGCCACUAAGUCUUCAUGUUAAUUCAAUUAAGUAUUCGUGUCUCUCUGCAAAACAAACCUGGAAAUCUGUUUUCUAAUUGAUUAAUGUAUUUACCAUAAAUUUUAAAAUGAUAAGAGCAACCUGAUACAGUAGUGCAUACUGCCCAAACUGUAAGACAGUAAGACCCCCCUUAAGCAUUGUGAAUGGUGAAAUAGUCAAUAGUGAAUCACCUUUUAUAAAUUACCUACUUCAAAAUGGAAAGUAUUUCAUUAAUCUUACAUAUAUAUUUAAACUUUAGAAUAGUAAUACUCUGUUGAAACUAAGGAAAUUUCCACACUUGAUAAUGAAGAUUCUUUAUCUUAUGGAAGAUUUUAUCUCAAGUUUGUUUCUAAAAAUACGGUUGAGAGGAUAAAAUAUUCCAUGGUAAAAUCACAAUAAAAUUUUCACAUUAAAAAUGACAGCUCCUAUGUAAAACAUUUCUGCAAGAAUUCCAAAGCCUCUACUAAAAUGUCAGGCAUGUCUAUAAAACCCUACUAGAUAUUUUUGGUAUAACAUAACAUUACCUCAAGGAAUUCCACAGGCUGUCCCUCCCCACAUCUGUUAGCAAAGUUACUGUCAAACACAGCCAUGAAAUGUGGCUCUCAGACCUCCAACACUUUCAGUCAAAACUGAUGAUGUAAAAUAGUCCUAUAAAAUUACAAUUGUGUCUGCACUGAGGAGCUGGGGGUGCAUUACUUUAAUCUCCUUAAUUGCUAGAUGAAGAAUUAGAUUUAGAGGAGUGAUGUGUUAAAGUCACAUAGCUAGUUGACAGCAGAUUUAGUUCCAAAACAAUGCUAUCCAAAGAACAUUAAAAACUUUGCUCCAGAUGUUUUUAACAUAGAAGAAAUUCAUUCACUAAAAGUCUAGGAAUAUAAAUGGUAGGGAGUUAAAAGAAGUAGAAACUAUCCUGGAAGAGUCUACAACUGUUUGAAUUUUACAAAACACCUAAAAUAUAUCCAUAUCUCUUCUAGUUUUGUAUUAUUUAUCAAUUUUAAAGAGUGGAAAUUCAGUCAAAAUUAAUAAGAGCCAUUACAUUAUGGAAAGUACAGGGUCCAGAUAUUAUCUUUUUACCUCCACAGCAUACCCUCCAAAGCAUACAUGUAUCUGAAUUUUAGAAAUAAAU